This 437-nucleotide ribosomal RNA is filed under the name uncultured bacterium. RNAcentral describes it as "partial 16S ribosomal RNA". It matches the Rfam family "Bacterial small subunit ribosomal RNA", at positions 29 to 507 of the family's 1533-position model. The record is from RNAcentral.
AGCGAACGCUGGCGGCAGGCUUAACACAUGCAAGUCGAGCGGGCAUCCUUGUGGUGUCAGCGGCAGACGGGUGAGUAACGCGUGGGAACGUGCCCUUCGGUUCGGAAUAACUCAGGGAAACUUGAGCUAAUACCGGAUACGUGCGAGAGCAGAAAGGUUUAUCUGCCGAAGGAUCGGCCCGCGUCUGAUUAGCUAGUUGGUGAGGUUAUGGCUCACCAAGGCGACGAUCAGUAGCUGGUCUGAGAGGAUGAUCAGCCACACUGGGACUGAGACCCGGCCCAGACUCCUACGGGAGGCAGCAGUGGGGAAUAGUGGACAAUGGGGGCAACCCUGAUCCAGCCAUGCCGCGUGAGUGAUGACGGCCUUAGGGUUGUAAAGCUCUUUUCUCCGGGACGAUAAUGACGGUACCGGAGGAAUAAGCCCCGGCUAACUUCGUG